Molecule: non-coding RNA, 78 nt
Organism: Potamilus streckersoni
Lineage: Eukaryota; Metazoa; Mollusca; Bivalvia; Unionida; Unionidae
Source: the annotation of a GenBank genome assembly
GCUACGGUAGCCUAGUGGUCAGUGCGUCCGCCUUAGAUGCGGGAGGUCGUGGGUUCAAUCCCCUGUUGAGUCAUACCA